UUCGUGAAAGGUUGACAAAUAACAUAAUUCAUCUUAUUCCCAUCCACACUUCACUCUAAUUGGCUGACAUUUUCACCAAAUCUCUUUCACCUUCUCCUUUUCGUCAAAUUAUCUCCAAACUUGGCAUUAUUAAUAUUCAUAUGCCAAGUUACGGGGGUGUGAUGAAAAUAUUGAAGAUAUAUGCAGCCCAUAUCAAAGC
Molecule: long non-coding RNA, 199 nt
Filed under: Lupinus angustifolius (narrow-leaved blue lupine)
Lineage: Eukaryota; Viridiplantae; Streptophyta; Magnoliopsida; Fabales; Fabaceae
Description: long non-coding RNA (LANG_LNC002961)
Source: RNAcentral